CUACGGAGGGUGCAAGCGUUACUCGGAAUCACUGGGCGUAAAGCGCGCGCAGGGGGCUAUUUAAGUUGGAUGUGAAAGCCUACGGCUCAACCGUAGAACUGCAUCCAAAACUAUUUAGCUAGAGUGUGGGAGAGGAAGAUGGAAUUAGUUGUGUAGGGGUAAAAUCCGUAGAGAUAACUAGGAAUACCAAAAGCGAAGGCAAUCUUCUGGAACACUACUGACGCUGAGGCGCGAAAGCGUGGGGAGCAAACGGGAUUAGAUACCCCAGUAGUCC
This 274-nucleotide ribosomal RNA is filed under the name uncultured bacterium. Its description in RNAcentral is "partial 16S ribosomal RNA". It matches the Rfam family "Bacterial small subunit ribosomal RNA", at positions 523 to 796 of the family's 1533-position model. The record is from RNAcentral.